AGUGAAUAGAUACCCGGGUAGUCCACGCUGUAAACGAUGAUUACUCGUUGUUGGGCAGUGAUGCUCAGUGGCUAAAGCGAAAGCGAUAAGUAAUCCACCUGGGGAGUACGAUCGCAAGGUUGAAACUCAAAGGAAUUGACGGGGGCCCGCACAAGCGGAGGAGCAUGUGGUUUAAUUCGAUGAUACGCGAGGAACCUUACCCGGGCUUGAACGUAAGACGAAUAUAUAAGAGAUUAUAUAGCCUUCGGGCGUCUUGCGAGGUGCUGCAUGGUUGUCGUCAGCUCGUGCCGUGAGGUGUUAGGUUAAGUCCUGCAACGAGCGCAACCCUUACACUUAGUUGCCAGCACGUUAUGGUGGGGACGUCUAAGUGAACUGCCUACGCAAGUAGAGGGGAAGGUGGGGAUGACGUCAAAUCAGCACGGCCCUUAUGUCCGGGCUACACACGUGCUACAAUGGUAUGUACAGAGGGCAGCCACCUGGUGAC
RNAcentral lists this ribosomal RNA (484 nucleotides) under uncultured bacterium. Its description in RNAcentral is "bacterial SSU rRNA". It matches the Rfam family "Bacterial small subunit ribosomal RNA", at positions 774 to 1261 of the family's 1533-position model. The record is from RNAcentral.